GCAAGUCGAACGCGAAAGUCACUUCGGUGGCGAGUAGUGUGGCGGACGGGUGAGUAAUGCUUGGGAAUCUGCCUCAUAGUGGGGGAUAACUACCGGAAACGGUAGCUAAUACCGCAUGUGCCCUACGGGGGAAAGAUUUAGCGCUAUUAGAUGAGCCCAAGUCAGAUUAGCUAGUUGGUAGGGUAAAGGCCUACCAAGGCGACGAUCUGUAGCUGGUUUGAGAGAGCGAAC
RNAcentral lists this ribosomal RNA (231 nucleotides) under uncultured bacterium. Its description in RNAcentral is "partial 16S ribosomal RNA". It matches the Rfam family "Bacterial small subunit ribosomal RNA", at positions 57 to 305 of the family's 1533-position model. The record is from RNAcentral.